ACCCCCCACUCCCCGGGACGGGCCCGUCUGCCCAGGCAGCGCCCGCGGGGGAAGGCUCCGGGCCUGCUCACGGGCGGAAGCCUCGGCUGCCUCGUGGGAGCGUCGGAGGCCGCCGGAGGGCUCAGCGUGGCACCCGGCGGGCUCACUUGAUAAGCUGUGUAGCAGUAGGAGUUGAGUUGCUGAGAAGGGGUCUGUGUGCCCUUGACCCCGUCCCUGGGCCUCUGCGUUCCGGGAGGCCGGGUGACCUCUUCAACAGGAGGGUUUCUUAGGGGUGAGCACAGCCCUCCGUGCAGCCCUCACCAGCGCCUCCCGGUGGUGCCUGGGAAGUCGGGGGUGGGGGGGACAGGGCCCGCACCAGGGCUCGCUGGCUGCAGCCGACCCUCAGAGCAGGCGGGAGAGCCCUCCUGCCCAGCCUUUCCGGGGGCAGAGACGGCCUGGGCACCCCACCCACUACACGGGGCCCCAGCCUGGGCCUCCGAGCUCGCCAGAACUCCGCAGCUUCAGAGACGGCCUGGGCACCCCGCCCACUACACGGGGCCCCAGCCUGGGCCUCCGAGCUCGCCAGAACUCCGCAGCUUCACCUGCGUCCACACCACAGCAAGCAGUGAGCUCCAGCUAGGCUGAGCCAGCCCUUGUGAACUGUGAUUUGCAUAAACACUCCGAAUGCAUUAUAUCUAACUUGUUCAUCUGACUGGAUGGUUGUAGCGCACUUGGUGCUGUGUCUCCGGAGGGCUGCACCCCCACACAGACGCCGUUCCAUGGUUGCGUCUCUCUGAGCAGCUCCUUACGUUGUCCGAUCCCGGACUGUGGCCGCUCUGUGCCCUCCUCACCCUGGAAGAUUCUCUUCAUUCGACUGCGGGCUUCGCGGGGCCACGUGGUCCGUGCAUCGCUCUGGUUGAUGUCUCUUUCAACUGUUCUCUUAACUGUGUCGGAGUCCCAAAGCCACUCCUCCCCCCCCCCUUUUUUUUUUUUGACAGGCAGAGUGGACAGUGAGAGAGAGACAGAAAGGUCUUCCUUUUGCCGUUGGUUCACCCUCCAAUGGCCGCCGCAGCCGGCGCGCUGCGGCCGGUGCACCGCGCUGAUCCGAUGGCAGGAGCCAGGUACUUAUCCUGGUCUCCCAUGGGGUGCAGGGCCCAAGCACCUGGGCCAUCCUCCACUGCACUCCCGGGCCACAGCAGAGAGCUGGCCUGGAAGAGGGGCAACCGGGACAGAAUCCGGCGCCCCGACUGGGACUAGAACCUGGUGUGCCGGCGCCGCAGGUGGAGGAUUAGCCUAGUGAGCCACAGCACCGGCCUCCCUUCCCUUUAAAAAAAAAAAAAAGUUUUAAUUUUGUUUGGGGGGUAGAGAUCUUCCAUCCACCGGUUCCUUGCCCAGAUGCUCACAACGUCCAGGCCAAGUUGACACCGGGAGCCUGGACCUCCGUCCGGUCUCGCAUGGUGGCAAGGACCCGGGCACUUGAGCCACCACGGCCGCCUUGCAGGUGCACAGUAGCAGGGACUGAGCAGCCAGGACUUGGGCCCCAGGCAUCCUGUGCAGGACGCAGGCAGCCAAGAGGCAGCUCGCUGCGCCAAACGCCUGCCCCGCCCUUUCUUCUUCUCUUUAAAAUAUUUAUUUAUUCACUAGAAAGGCAGAGUUACGGAGAAAGAGAGGUACAGAGAGGUCUUCCAUCCAUUGGUUCACUCCCCAAACGGUCACAACAGCCGACACUGGGCCAGGCUGAAGCCAGGAGCCCAGAGCUCCGUCUGGAUCUCCCACAUGGGUGCAGGGCCCAGGUCCUUGAGCCACCACGGCCGCCUCGCAGGUGCACAGUAGCAGGAAGCUGGAUCGGAAGCAGAGGCAGAACUCAAACCCCGGCCUGCAGGUGUCUCGAGUGGCAAGCUCAGCCUGCCAAGCCACGCCCACUCUCCACUCCUUUUACAAUUUCUUUGAUUUUAUUUUACUUAAGUGGCAAACAGAGGGCUUCCAACCACUGAGUCACUCCCCAGAUGGCUGCGACAGCCAGGGCUGGGCCAGGCCAAAGCCAGGAGCCUGGAGCUCCCUCCAGGUCUCCACCAACCACUGGAGCCAUCGCCUGCCGCCCUGCGGAUGCCCUCCGCAAGGAAGCUGGGAUUCGGAGCAGAGCCAGCCUCCAGGACGGGCACUCCGGCGCGGGAUGCGGGUGCCGGGGCGGCUGCACCAGAGUGCCGUGUUGGCAGAGCGCUGUGACGGCCCAGCUUCAUGCAUCACUAGGCUCAUUGGCCGCUGCUUUUCUUCUCUCGACGGUUUGAGUUUAUUUGGGUUCUACGGCACGUGUACCUGGUUCCGACACCGGAACCGUCGAUGAAGAGGGCGGGCAUGUAGCGUCGCAGUUGACACCGCUCGGGACACCUGCGCCCACGUUGGCUGGGUUCCGGUUCCAGCCCCACUCCCCAUUCCCGUUUGCUGUGGUUGUGCCCCUGGGAGCCAGCAGGUGGGUCCCUGCCAGCCGUGCGGGAGGCCCAGCUGAGUUCUAGGUUCUUGGCGUUGGCCUGGCCCAGCCCCAGCUGCUGCAGGCAUCCGGCUGUGACCAGAGACGGGCGUCUGUCUCUCUGCCCACAGGCAGUAGGCAGGUAGCAGGCAGGUAGCAGGUAGAUAGUAGGCAGGUAGUAGGCAGGUAGUAGGCAGGCGGUAGGCAGGUGUAGGCAGGCAGUAGGCAGGUGUAGGCAGGUGUAGGCAGGUGGUAGGCAGGUGUAGACAGGUGUAGGCAGGUGUAGGCAGGCGGUAGGCAGGUGUAGGCAGGUGUAGGCAGGCAGUAGGCAGGUGUAGGUAGGUGUAGGCAGGUGUAGGCAGGUGUAGGUAGGUGGUAGGCAGGUGUAGACAGGUGUAGGCAGGUGUAGGCAGGUGGUAGGCAGGUGUAGGCAGGUGUAGACAGGUGUAGGCAGGUGUAGGCAGGUGUAGGCAGGUGUAGACAGGUGUAGGCAGGUGUAGGCAGGUGUAGGCAGGUGUAGACAGGUGUAGGCAGGUGUAGGCAGGUGUAGACAGGUGUAGGCAGGUGUAGGCAGGUGGUAGGCAGGUGUAGGCAGGUGUAGGCAGGUGUAGGCAGGUAACAGGCAGUAGACAGGCGGUAGGCAGGUGUAGGCAGGUGUAGACAGGUGUAGGCAGGUGUAGGCAGGCGGUAGGUGACACAGAUGCCUGACAGUGGUGAGGAGGCUGCAGGCGUCUCCCUCCCUUUCCGCUGAGGAUGACCUUUCACCAGCUGUCCUGCCAGUGUCUGAGAACUGCCUGCACAGAUUUGCGUGGCGCUAGGUUGUCGGUAGGUCUGUUUAAAGGGCCCCUUUUGGGGUUUCCUCAAACUCCUCUGCAGCUCUCUUCUCUCUACUCCUGGCUACCCCCAUGACCACCGUCCUCCCACCCCGACUCCCCCCACCCAAAGCUGAGGGAGGGUCCCGCGGGUGCCCCUGGCUGCAGAAGCCCUGAGAGCUCGCGUUUGUGCUUUUACCGGACGCCGCUGAGCGUGGGAGGGAUUCUCAGCUCUGUCUGCCCUGCAGCACGGCACGGCGACCUGAGUGUCGCCCGGCCCCGGCCCACGUGUCACCUUAGCUCCCAGCGCUCUGGGAUGCAGGGACCUGGCACCGUGAAAGGGGCCUUUGAAACCGGCGGGAGGCAGAGCGCAUCCUGGAACAUCCCGGGCCCUGCCUGCCCGAGCUGCCUCCCAGCCGCUGCAUCAGGCAGAGGGGCCGCGGUUGACGCCGAGGGGCCGUGGCUGACGCCGAGGGGCCGCGGCUGACGCCGAGGGCGUGCGCCCAGCAGCCCUGCGCCCGCGGGGAGUGUCCAGGGGAGCAGACCCGGGCGCUGCCUCCUGCGCUUG
Non-coding RNA from Oryctolagus cuniculus (rabbit), 3826 nucleotides. The record is from RefSeq and is a predicted model, not a curated record. Lineage: Eukaryota; Metazoa; Chordata; Mammalia; Lagomorpha; Leporidae.